ACGGGGUGCAGCAGGCGCGAAAACUCCGCAAUGCACGAAAGUGUGACGGGGCUACCCCGAGUGCUCUCCGCUGAGGAAAGCUUUUCCUUGGUAUAACUAGCCAGGGGAAUAAGUGAUGGGUAAGACUGGUGCCAGCAGCCGCGGUAACACCAGCGUCACAAGUGGGAAUCGCGAUUAUUGGGCCUAAAGCGUCCGUAGCCGGUUUGGUAAAUCCUUAGUGAAAUCGGCCAGCUUAACUGGUCGGCGUGCUAGGGAGACUGUCAAACUAGGAACCGGGAGGAGUCAGAGGUAUGCAAGGGGGAGCGGUAAAAUGUUAUAAUCCCAGAAAGACUACCCGUGGCGAAGGCGUCUGACUAGUACGGAUCCGACGGUGAGGGACGAAAGCUAGGGGAGCAAUCCGGAUUAGAUACGGGCUGCCAUGUCUGGUUUCUUGAGAAAGGUUCAUAAAUUGCUCAUGUGACUAUUAUGAAUCAAGGAAAGAAGACCGCUAUAUGAUGGCAUGCCUGCUAAUUACCCGAGUAGUCCUAGCCGUAAACGCUGCGAGCAAGGUGUCACAUAUUCUUAGAGAAUAUGUUGUGUCGAAAUGAAGGUGCUAAGCUCGCCGCCUGGGGAGUAUGGUCGCAAGACUGAAACUUAAAGGAAUUGGCGGGGGAGCAC
Molecule: ribosomal RNA, 657 nt
Filed under: uncultured archaeon
Lineage: Archaea
Description: bacterial SSU rRNA
Rfam family: Archaeal small subunit ribosomal RNA
Source: RNAcentral